This is a long non-coding RNA of Gossypium arboreum, 529 nucleotides long. RefSeq lists it as uncharacterized. The transcript has 2 exons. The record is from RefSeq and is a predicted model, not a curated record. NCBI's taxonomy places the organism in Eukaryota, Viridiplantae, Streptophyta, Magnoliopsida, Malvales, Malvaceae.
GCGUCGCAGCAAAACAAAAAUGGGAAAGAAAAGGGGAAACCUUAGAUGUUUGCCCCUAUUCGAUUUGCCAUUCAACCACUACCAUUCCACCAUUAUAAUCGGUGGAUGAUAGCACGCAAUGAAAUCAUCCCAUUCCCUCAUUUUAAAUCUUGCCUCAAAAGGUCCGAUUUCAGCCUCGAAAACCUAUUUCAAGCUUCGAUUUCGACGAAGAAGAUAAGGCCUCUGAUGGCUCAUUUGAAAAAGCGUACAGAAAAGCAAGCUACUCGUGAGGAGGCCCUUCAUGAGAGGCUCGAUUCCAUGGCUAGCUGUUGCACUGCGUAUUCCAGAAACCUAUAGGGUUUCUGGUGUUUUCUCAUUAUUGGGCUCAUUUGGGCCGUAUGUAAAUUGAGCUAGGAUUUUAGGUUUUGGACUAGUGUUUUAUUUUUAUUUCGGGCUAUGUUUUGUUAUUGGACUUUGGGUUAGUGUUUUGGGCCUUUAUUUUUGUAAAAGAACUUGAACUUUUAAUUUAUUUAGCUCAUGGCUUUAUUUA